RNAcentral lists this ribosomal RNA (557 nucleotides) under uncultured Sphingobium sp. RNAcentral describes it as "bacterial SSU rRNA". It matches the Rfam family "Bacterial small subunit ribosomal RNA", at positions 102 to 694 of the family's 1533-position model. Lineage: Bacteria; Pseudomonadati; Pseudomonadota; Alphaproteobacteria; Sphingomonadales; Sphingobiaceae. The record is from RNAcentral.
ACGGGUGCGUAACGCGUGGGAAUCUGCCCCUUGGUUCGGAAUAACAGUUGGAAACGACUGCUAAUACCGGAUGAUGACGAAAGUCCAAAGAUUUAUCGCCAAGGGAUGAGCCCGCGUAGGAUUAGCUAGUUGGUGAGGUAAAGGCUCACCAAGGCAACGAUCCUUAGCUGGUCUGAGAGGAUGAUCAGCCACACUGGGACUGAGACACGGCCCAGACUCCUACGGGAGGCAGCAGUAGGGAAUAUUGGACAAUGGGCGAAAGCCUGAUCCAGCAAUGCCGCGUGAGUGAUGAAGGCCUUAGGGUUGUAAAGCUCUUUUGCCCGAGAUGAUAAUGACAGUAUCGGGAGAAUAAGCCCCGGCUAACUCCGUGCCAGCAGCCGCGGUAAUACGGAGGGGGCUAGCGUUGUUCGGAAUUACUGGGCGUAAAGCGCACGUAGGCGGUUAUUCAAGUCAGAGGUGAAAGCCCAGUGCUCAACACUGGAACUGCCUUUGAAACUAGAUAGCUUGAAUCCAGGAGAGGUGAGUGGAAUUCCGAGUGUAGAGGUGAAAUUCGUAGA